GCAUCUUCGGAUGCUUAGUGGCGAACGGGUGAGUAACACGUAGAUAACCUACCUUUAACUCGAGGAUAACUCCGGGAAACUGGAGCUAAUACUGGAUAGGAUGUGUGCAUGAAAAAAACACAUUUAAAGAUUUAUCGGUUUAAGAGGGGUCUGCGGCGCAUUAGUUAGUUGGUGGGGUAAAAGCCUACCAAGACGAUGAUGCGUAGCCGGACUGAGAGGUCUACCGGCCACAUUGGGACUGAGAACGGCCCAAACUCCUACGGGAGGCAGCAGUAGGGAAUUUUCGGCAAUGGGGGAAACCCUGACCGAGCAACGCCGCGUGAACGACGAAGUACUUCGGUAUGUAAAGUUCUUUUAUAUGGGAAGAAAAA
This 371-nucleotide ribosomal RNA is filed under the name uncultured Acholeplasma sp. Its description in RNAcentral is "bacterial SSU rRNA". It matches the Rfam family "Bacterial small subunit ribosomal RNA", at positions 74 to 452 of the family's 1533-position model. Lineage: Bacteria; Bacillati; Mycoplasmatota; Mollicutes; Acholeplasmatales; Acholeplasmataceae. The record is from RNAcentral.